This 330-nucleotide ribosomal RNA is filed under the name uncultured eukaryote. RNAcentral describes it as "partial 18S ribosomal RNA". It matches the Rfam family "Eukaryotic small subunit ribosomal RNA", at positions 1470 to 1796 of the family's 1831-position model. The record is from RNAcentral.
CCCUUAGAUGUUCUGGGCCGCACGCGCGCUACACUGAUGCAUUCAACGAGUCUAAAACCUGGUCUGAUAGGGCUGGGUAAUCUUUUGAAAGUGCAUCGUGAUUGGGAUAGAUGAUUGCAAUUCUUCAUCUUCAACGAGGAAUGCCUAGUAAACGCAAGUCAUCAGCUUGCAUUGAUUACGUCCCUGCCCUUUGUACACACCGCCCGUCGCUCCUACCGAUUGAAUGAUCCGAUGAAUACCAUGGAUUGAGAGUUCGAAUAGGUUCGCCUAUUUCAGCGUCUCGAGAAGUGGAGUAAAUCUUAUCAUUUAGAGGAAGGAGAAGUCGUAACA